UUUUCGUAGGUGAACCUGCGGAAGGAUCAUUAGUGAAUCUCCGGAUGGAGCUCUGCAAAGGGCGACAUUCGAUCCACUAUCACACACACACUGUGCACUUGUCAAUUUUUAACACUAUUGUUUAAAACAAGUCCCUUGAAACCAAUUUAAAGAAAGAAAAACUUUCAGCAAUGGAUCUCUUGGCUCUC
RNAcentral lists this unclassified non-coding RNA (188 nucleotides) under plant metagenome. RNAcentral describes it as "partial contains small subunit ribosomal RNA, internal transcribed spacer 1, and 5.8S ribosomal RNA". The record is from RNAcentral.